GAGCAUGGGGUUUAAUUCGAAGCAACGCGAAGAACCUUACCUAAGCGUGACAUCCCAAUGACAUCUCCUUAAUCGGAGAGUGCCCUUCGGGGACAUUGGUGACAGGUGGUGCAUGGUUGUCGUCAGCUCGUGUCGUGGGAUGUUGGGUUAAGUCCCGCAACGAGCGCAACCCUUGUCUUUAGUUGCCAUCAUUAAGUUGGGCACUCUAGAGAGACUGCCAGGGAUAACCUGGAGGAAGGUGGGGAUGACGUCAAAUCAUCAUGCC
Molecule: ribosomal RNA, 265 nt
Filed under: Clostridioides difficile
Lineage: Bacteria; Bacillati; Bacillota; Clostridia; Peptostreptococcales; Peptostreptococcaceae
Description: partial 16S ribosomal RNA
Rfam family: Bacterial small subunit ribosomal RNA
Source: RNAcentral